CGAAGACGGGUAGGGGGUGUGAGAGCAUGGCCCCCCACAAUGGGACUGAGGCACGGGCCAUACUCCUACGGGAGGCAGCAGCGGGGAAUAUUGCGCAAUGGACGGAAGUCAGACGCAGCGACGCCGCGUGGGUGAGGAAGGCCUUCGGGUUGUAAAGCCCUUUUCAGGGGAGCGAGAAAGGACGGUACCCUUGGAAUAAGCGUCGGCUAACUACGUGCCAGCAGCCGCGGUAAGACGUAGGACGCAAGCGUUAUCCGGAUUUACUGGGCGUAAAGCGCCUGUAGGCGGUCAAGUAAGUCGGAUGUGAAAGCCCCGUGCUCAACGCGGGGAAGCCAUUCGAUACUGCGUGACUAGAGAACGGCAGAGGGAAACGGAAUUUCUGGUGUAGCGGUAAAAUGCGCAGAGAUCAGAAAGAACACCGAUGGCGAAGGCAGUUUCCUAGGCCGCAUCUGACGCUGAGAGGCGAAAGCUAGGGGAGCAAACAGGAUUAGAGACCCUGGUAGUCCUAGCUGUAAACGAUGGAUGCUAGGUGUGGGCCGGAAAGGUCCGUGCCGUAGUUAACGCGAUAAGCAUCCCGCCUGGGGAGUACGGCCGCAAGGCUUAAACUCAAACGAAUUGACGGGGACCCGCACAAGCAGCGGAGCGUGUGGCUUAAUUCGAUGCUACACGCAGAACCUUACCUGGGCUUGACAUGUAGGUGGUAGUGAAGUGAAAGCGGAGCGACCCUUCGGGGAGCCUACACAGGUGCUGCAUGGCUGUCGUCAGCUCGUGCCGUGAGGUGUCGGGUUAAGUCCCGUAACGAGCGCAACCAUUGUCCUUAGUUACAAGUGUCUAAGGAGACUGCCGGUGACAAACCGGAGGAACCUGGGGAUCACGUCAAGUCAGCAUGGCCCUUAUGUCCAGGGCGACACACACGCUACAAUGGUCGGUACAAUGGGCAGCGCAGCCGCGAGGUGAAGCGAAUCCCAACAAAGCCGAUCCCAGUUCGGAUUGCAGGCUGCAACCCGCAUGCAUGAAGCCGGAGUUGCUAGUAACCGCGCGUCAGCCAUCCCUGCGCUGAAUACGUUCCCGGGUCUUGUACACACCGCCCGUCACGUCAUGGGAGUUGGUAACGCCUGAAGCCGGUAG
This 1128-nucleotide ribosomal RNA is filed under the name uncultured organism. RNAcentral's name for it is "bacterial SSU rRNA". It matches the Rfam family "Bacterial small subunit ribosomal RNA", at positions 274 to 1433 of the family's 1533-position model. The record is from RNAcentral.